This 510-nucleotide ribosomal RNA is filed under the name uncultured bacterium. RNAcentral's name for it is "partial 16S ribosomal RNA". It matches the Rfam family "Bacterial small subunit ribosomal RNA", at positions 28 to 523 of the family's 1533-position model. The record is from RNAcentral.
GACGAACGCUGGCGGCGUGCUUAACACAUGCAAGUCGAACGAUGAACCAGGGCUUGCCCUGGGGAUUAGUGGCGAACGGGUGAGUAACACGUGGGUAACCUACCUAUAAGACUGGGAUAACUCCGGGAAACCGGGGCUAAUACCGGAUAAUAUUUUGAACCGCAUGGUUCAAUAGUGAAAGACGGUUUCGGCUGUCACUUAUAGAUGGACCCGCGCCGUAUUAGCUAGUUGGUAAGGUAACGGCUUACCAAGGCGACGAUACGUAGCCGACCUGAGAGGGUGAUCGGCCACACUGGAACUGAGACACGGUCCAGACUCCUACGGGAGGCAGCAGUAGGGAAUCUUCCGCAAUGGGCGAAAGCCUGACGGAGCAACGCCGCGUGAGUGAUGAAGGUCUUCGGAUCGUAAAACUCUGUUGUUAGGGAAGAACAAAUUUGUUAGUAACUGAACAAGUCUUGACGGUACCUAACCAGAAAGCCACGGCUAACUACGUGCCAGCCGCCGCCGUAA